RNAcentral lists this ribosomal RNA (449 nucleotides) under uncultured bacterium. RNAcentral describes it as "bacterial SSU rRNA". It matches the Rfam family "Bacterial small subunit ribosomal RNA", at positions 355 to 825 of the family's 1533-position model. The record is from RNAcentral.
UCGAGGAUCUUCGUCAAUGGGGGAAACCCUGAACGAGCGAUGCCGCGUGAGCGAUGAAGGCCUUCGGGUUGUAAAGCUCAAAAGAGGUGAGAAAGGGAAACUUGAUCAAACCUCAGUAAGCUCGGGCUAAGUUCGUGCCAGCAGCCGCGGUAAGACGUAGGGUGCAAGCGUUGUCCGGAAUUAUUGGGCGUAAAGAGUUCGUAGGCGGUGAUGUAAGUCUGAUGUUAAAGACCAGAGCUCAACUUUGGCAUGGCAUUGGAAACUACAUUGCUAGAGUGCUGUAGAGGUAAAGGGAAUUCCCGGUGUAGCGGUGAAAUGCGUAGAUAUCGGGAGGAACAUCAGUGGCGAAGGCGGCCCUCUGGUCCAGUACUGACACUCAAGUGCGAAAGCGUGGGGAGCAAACAGGAUUAGAUACCCGCGUAGUCCCUGAGCGGGCUGGCAAGGCGCAU